RNAcentral lists this ribosomal RNA (446 nucleotides) under uncultured bacterium. Its description in RNAcentral is "partial 16S ribosomal RNA". It matches the Rfam family "Bacterial small subunit ribosomal RNA", at positions 338 to 795 of the family's 1533-position model. The record is from RNAcentral.
CCUACGGGUGGCAGCAGUCGAGAAUCAUUCACAAUGGGGGAAACCCUGAUGGUGCGACGCCGCGUGGGGGAAUGAAGGUCUUCGGAUUGUAAACCCCUGUCAUGUGGGAGCAAAUUAAAAAGAUAGUACCACAAGAGGAAGAGACGGCUAACUCUGUGCCAGCAGCCGCGGUAAUACAGAGGUCUCAAGCGUUGUUCGGAAUCACUGGGCGUAAAGCGUGCGUAGGCUGUUUCGUAAGUCGUGUGUGAAAGGCGCGGGCUCAACCCGCGGACGGCACAUGAUACUGCGAGACUAGAGUAAGGGAGGGGGAACCGGAAUUCUCGGUGGAGCAGUGAAAUGCGUAGAUAUCGAGAGGAACACUCGUGGCGAAGGCGGGUUCCUGGACAUUAACUGACGCUGAGGCACGAAGGCCAGGGGAGCGAAAGGGAUUAGAUACCCCAGUAGUC